This 3210-nucleotide long non-coding RNA is filed under the name Salmo salar (Atlantic salmon). RNAcentral describes it as "lncRNA (ENSSSAG00000096479.1)". Lineage: Eukaryota; Metazoa; Chordata; Actinopteri; Salmoniformes; Salmonidae. The record is from RNAcentral.
CUCUCUCUCUCUCUCUCUCUCUCCUUUCUCCCUCUCUCCUUUCUCUAUCUCCCUCUUCUCUUUUAUAGUUUUUUUCAUAAUGCGAAUUCCUUGGUCUUGUGUAGCCUCUCCCUUGUGGAAUCAGAUAAAAGACCUUGGUUGAAUCCCAAAUGGCAUCCUAUUUGCUACGUAGAGCCCCAUGUCCUGGGGAGAGAGCCCAGCCCUGGAGGUAGCUAUGUCCUGGGGAGAGAGACCAGCCCUGGAGGUAGCUAUGUCCUGGGAAGAGACCAGCCCUGGAGGUAGCUAUGUCCUGGGGAGAGACCAGCCCUGGAGGUAGCUAUGUCCUGGGGAGAGAGCCCAGCCCUGGAGGUAGCUAUGUCCUGGGAAGAGACCAGCCCUGGAGGUAGCUAUGUCCUGGGGAGAGAGACCAGCCCUGGAGGUAGCUAUGUCCUGGGGAGAGCCCAGCCCUGGAGGUAGCUAUGUCCUGGGGAGAGAGACCAGCCCUGGAGGUAGCUAUGUCCUGGGGAGAGAGCCCAGCCCCAGGAGAGAAGAGUGGGGGCAACAGAGAGAGAGAAACAGAGAGAGGAAAAGGGAGAGUAAGAUAGAAAGAAACCACCUAAAAGGAAGCAAUUCCCAAACCUUCCAUAACAAAGCCAUCACCUACAGAGAGAUGAACCUGGAUUAGAGUCCCCUAAGCAAGCUGAUCCUGAGGCUCUGUUCACAAACACAAACAGGCCCCACAGAGCCCCAGGACAGCAACACAAUUAGACCCAACCAAAUCAUGAGAAAACAAAAGGAUAAUUAAUUACUUGACACAUUGGAAAGAAUUUACAAAAUAACAGAGCAAACUAGAAUGCUAUUUGGUCCUAAACAGAGAGUACACAGUGGCAGAAUACCUGACCAGUGUGACUGACCCAAAUUGAAGGAAAGUUUUGACUAUGUACAGACUCAGUGAUCAUAGCCUUGCUAAUGAGAAAGGCCACCGUAGGCAGACCUGGCUCUCAAGAGAAGACAGGCUAUGUGCACACUGCCCACAAAAUGAGGUUGAAACUGAACUGCACUUCCUAACCUCCUGUCAAAUGUAUGACCAUAUUAGAGACACAUAUUUCACUCAGAUUACAUAGACCCACAAAGAAUUCGAAACAAAUCCAAUUUUGAUAAACUCUCAUAUCUACUGGGUGAAAUACCACAGUGUGCCAUCACAGCAGCAAGAUUUGUGACCUGUCGCCACAAGAAAAGGGCAACCAGUGAAGAACAAACACCAUUGUAAAUACAACCAAUAUUUAUGUUUAUUUAUUUUCCCUUUUGUACUUUAACUAUUUGCACAUGAUUACAACACUGUAUAUAGACAUAAUAUGAUAUUUGUAAUGUCUUUAUUCUUUUGGAACUUUUGUGAGUGUAAUGUUUACUGUUAAUUUUGUAUUGUUUAUUUGACUUUGCCAAAGCAAGUGAAAUAGAUAAACAAUGUAAACAUAUGUUUCCCAUGUCAAUAAAGCCCCUUGAAUUGAAAUUGAGUUGAAUUGAAAGCGAGACCGAUGCAGUUUCCAGACCUUUUAUUGCUUCUCCUUUCAUCUAGCUUCAUUCACCAGGCUGUACUUCAGUGUUCACUGCGUAACAGACACACUCAACAUGCUUUCGAGAGCUUUUUUCCACUUUGAAAGCAGAUAAAAACAUUCCUCUCUCAGCUGGGCUGUGAGUAGAUGUCAGCAUACUGGCACACACACACACGCACACACACGCACACACACAUAUACACACACAUAUACACACACAUAUACACACACACACACACACACACACACACACACACACACACACACACACAGACACAGACACAGACACACACACACACACACACACACACACACACACACACACACACACACACACACACACACACACAGACUCCUUUGAGGUUACAGUGAUGUCUUCAUGGGGUGAUUAAAAGCUGUUGUUUUCAGACAGUGGGAUUGGAGGAAGGAUAUGUCUGAAAUUACUAGACUGUACCUUUCAAACUUCAGUAGAAUACUGCUAUUGAUUUUCAACCUGUCUUUCUGCACGUCUUUGUCUGAUAACAUACCAUAGGUCCAGACUGACGAUUCCACUCUUUCUUUGAUUUGGACACAUUCAUCAGUAAAGCUACAUUAUAGUGACUUUCGAGUUACUGAAGGUUUAAUGCCGUUAUGUGAAACAUUAUUAUUGAGGCUGAAGGCUUGGUCUUUAUCUGCGAUCAUAUAUUGAGAUCAUUUUUAUUUACAUAAUGAUCACACCCAGUCCUGUGGUUGUUGAUGGAGUGUAGAGAAUCAAUGGGCGGUAUCCUGAACGGCUCAGUGUGACUGUGAAUAGGGAUGGAAGGGUUUUACACUGACUGAGAAACUGCCUGCGUCACAAUGCUGGAUCAAUGAGCCCCAGCAUGCUUCAAUUACCUUUUGGAAAGUGGGGGGAAACUGUGUUGUGGCGUUCACUUGGCUCUGUACUGCACUGUGAGCAAAGAUCCAUAAUGGCAGUAUAGUUGCCUAUGGGAAAUGCCCAGGGGAGUGCCUUACAGGGUAUCCUCAACAGACAUGUCAAUACCAUCUUAUAUUGGGCUACAACUGUGUGCUUAGUUACUCAAUGGUAAUAAUAGUGAUAGAGAUGCUGUAGCUUACCAUCUGCUGCAACAACCUUGAACAUGCCUGGCUGGUCCCUUUACCAACACAGACAGAGAGACAGAGAGAGAGAGAGAGAGAGAACACACACCUUGGCUGUGUUUCAGAUGGUAUGCUAUUAUGCCUUAUAUCAUAAUCUCCACACUAAAGUUAUUAGGACCCUAAAACGUUUAGUCUCCUGUAAUCUAACCAAUAUGAUGGGAGGGAGCCAUGAUCAGGGGAGGUUAUUUGAGGGUGAGUCCCAAAUGGCAUUCCCCAUAGAGAGGGGGAGAGGAGGAGGAAGGGGGGGGAGAAAGAGAGAGAGAGAGAGGGUCAGAUGUGAUCUUUAACUCACACACACACCUGCACAUACACACACACACACACACACACACACACACACACACACACACACACACACACACACACACACACACACACACACACACACACACACACACACACACACACACACACACACAGGGAACUUGUGAGAAGCCUGACUGAACGAACCCACUGCCCUCUGUCUCACCAUCGGGUCUUGUUUCAUAGUUGUUCUCACUUCUAAUUGUAUUAUGUUGUUUUAAAGAACCUCCUCUCUCUG